This 376-nucleotide ribosomal RNA is filed under the name uncultured organism. RNAcentral's name for it is "partial 16S ribosomal RNA". It matches the Rfam family "Bacterial small subunit ribosomal RNA", at positions 527 to 896 of the family's 1533-position model. The record is from RNAcentral.
GUAGGUGGCAAGCGUUGUCCGGAAUUAUUGGGCGUAAAGCGCGCGCAGGCGGUUCGUUUAAGUCUGAUGUGAAAGCCCACGGGCUCAACCGUGGAGGGUCAUUGGAAACUGGAGAACUUGAGUACAGAAGAGGAAAGCGGAAUUCCACGUGUAGCGGUGAAAUGCGUAGAGAUGUGGAGGAACACCAGUGGCGAAGGCGGCUUUCUGGUCUGUAACUGACGCUGAGGCGCGAAAGCGUGGGGAGCAAACAGGAUUAGAUACCCUGGUAGUCCACGCCGUAAACGAUGAGUGCUAAGUGUUAGGGGGUUUCCGGCCCCUUACGUGCUGCAGCUAACGCAUUAAGCACUCCGCCUGGGGAGUACGGCCGCAAAGGCUG